GGAGAGGUGGCUGAGUGGUUGAAAGCGGCGGUCUCGAAAACCGUUGGGGGUUCACGCCUUCCGCAGGUUCGAAUCCUGUCCUCUCCGCCA
RNAcentral lists this transfer RNA (90 nucleotides) under Olavius sp. associated proteobacterium Delta 1. Its description in RNAcentral is "tRNA-Ser-CGA". It matches the Rfam family "tRNA". Rfam says of the family: Transfer RNA (tRNA) molecules are approximately 80 nucleotides in length. Their secondary structure includes four short double-helical elements and three loops (D, anti-codon, and T loops). The record is from RNAcentral. Lineage: Bacteria; Deltaproteobacteria. RNAcentral also lists the same sequence under 2 other names.